RNAcentral lists this long non-coding RNA (277 nucleotides) under Zostera marina. Its description in RNAcentral is "long non-coding RNA (ZMAR_LNC003300)". The record is from RNAcentral. Lineage: Eukaryota; Viridiplantae; Streptophyta; Magnoliopsida; Alismatales; Zosteraceae.
UCCGUGCUUUUUUUCUUGAGCUAUCGAUUUCACCAUGUUGAUGCCAAAUAGAAUAAUCAGCCAUGAACCCGUUUUUGUAAAGGUGAAUACCCACUUCAUCUAUCGAAAAAUAAAAUGAACAACAACAUGCAAAGCAAGGGCACUUUAUUCUUUCACAUCCAAGUUUUUCUCUUGCACAUUUCAAGAAAUGAGGGACGCCAUUGCCAAAUCCCACCGUUAGAUGACCUUUUGAAUCUUGCCGGUUAUACAUCCAAGUUCGAUCAUCAUCGGUCAUUCU